AGGGAUCAUUACUGAGUUUACGCUCUAUAACCCUUUGUGAACAUACCUAUAACUGUUGCUUCGGCGGGUAGGGUCUCCGCGACCCUCCCGGCCUCCCGCCCCCGGGCGGGUCGGCGCCCGCCGGAGGAUAACCAAACUCUGAUUUAACGACGUUUCUUCUGAGUGGUACAAGCAAAUAAUCAAAACUUUUAACAACGGAUCUCUUGGUUCUGGCAUCGAUGAAGAACGCAGCGAAAUGCGAUAAGUAAUGUGAAUUGCAGAAUUCAGUGAAUCAUCGAAUCUUUGAACGCACAUUGCGCCCGCCAGCAUUCUGGCGGGCAUGCCUGUUCGAGCGUCAUUUCAACCCUCAAGCUCUGCUUGGUGUUGGGGCCCUACAGCCGAUGUAGGCCCUCAAAGGUAGUGGCGGACCCUCCCGGAGCCUCCUUUGCGUAGUAACUUUACGUCUCGCACUGGGAUCCGGAGGGACUCUUGCCGUAAAACCCCCCAAUUUUCCAAAGGUUGACCUCGGAUCAGGUAGGAAUACCCGCUGAACUUAAGCAUA
This 541-nucleotide ribosomal RNA is filed under the name Colletotrichum sp. RNAcentral describes it as "eukaryotic LSU rRNA". The stretch from base 184 to 337 matches the Rfam family "5.8S ribosomal RNA". Lineage: Eukaryota; Fungi; Ascomycota; Sordariomycetes; Glomerellales; Glomerellaceae. The record is from RNAcentral.